ACUGCUUCUCUUAGUUUCUGAUUAAUCGCCAAAACAUCAAGAAUCCAACCUGUGACUUUCUUGUAAGCAAUUCAUAAUGCAUAUAAACAAUCUUAAUUUGUAACUUAUGCCAUACUUACCUCCAGCCAUUGUUGGGUUGCAAGUCUUUGGUUUCCAAAACUCUAUCUCUCCUUAUGGAUGGUGUAGUUUCUGAAGAUUUUCAGCAGCAUGAGAGAGGAGCUCGGGACCAAGACCGAUAUUUAAAAUACAAAGAAAACGUGGCUUCCCAUCAAAGCCACGUUUCUCUGAUUUGCCACACGAUGAGCAGUUGAGAGAAACGUGCUCCUUAACAGCAGCUACAUGAUGAAGGACGUGGCCAAGUGUUGGACCACUUCAGGGCAGCGGAACGUGGGUGAUUUGAUAACAUUCUCCCACUUGGUCCACACUUUUAACCUCAUGUCCUAUCUUAGAUCAUCAUUUUUCCGCAUUAAGUAACAAAUAUAUGAAUCAUGGCGAUAAGUCCUCUAUAUAACGAGUGUUAUCUUCCAUGUAUUACAAUGUAUUCAUUUCUUAACAUUUUACUUUAUGUGGCAAUAUUGCUUAAUGAAUAAACCCUAUGUUCAUUCUUGGUCCAAUGAAGUUGAAUUUUCUCAAAAUUAAAUAAAGGUGCACAUCAAUAUGAGAAAACAUCAUAAUAAGAGUUUGUACAAUAAAACUACAUAAGGGAACUAAGUCCCAUGUUCAUUACAUGAUCCUUGAAUUUCAACGGUGGCAUGCCCUUAGUCAAAGGAUCAGCAAUCAUCAAUUCAGUGCUAAUGUGCUCAAUAACCACUUUCUUUUCUUUAACACGUUCGCUUAUGGCUAGAUACUUAAUGUCGAUGUGUUUGCUUCGACUUCCACUUUUAUUGUUCUUUGCCAUAAAGACUGCAGCUGAAUUGUCGCAAUAUAUACUCAAUGGCCUAGAUAUUGAAUCCAUAACUCUAAGCCCGGAAAUGAAACUCUUAAGCCAUACACCAUGUGAAGUAGCCUCAAAACAAGAAAUGAACUCAGCUUCCAUAGUAGAAGUAGCAGUCAUGGUCUGCUUAACGCUCCUCCAAGAUAUAGCUCCACCGGCCAAUAUAAAAAUGUAUCCAGAUGUUGAUUUACGUGAAUCAACACAGCCAGCAAAGUCUGAAUCUGAGUAGCCAACUACCUCUAAAUUGCUUGUUCGUCUGUACAUAAACUUGUAAUAUUUGGUUCCUUGAAGAUAUGUCAUCACUUUCUUUGCAGCUUUCCAGUGGUCUAUACCUGGGUUACUCUGAUAUCGUCCUAACAUUCCAACAGCAAAUGCAAUGUCAGGCCUUGUGCAGACCUGAGCAUACAUCAAACUUCCGACUGCAGAAGCAUAUGGAAUGUUCUUCAUUUGUUCCCUCUCAAGAUCGUUUUUCGGGCAUUGGUUCAGAUUGAACCUAUCACCCUUCACUAUAGGAGAAACACUAGGUGAACAAUUCUUCAUCCGAAAUCUCUCUAAAACUUUAUUGAUAUAGGUUUCUUGAGACAAACCUAAGAUACCUUUAAAUCUGUCUCUAUCGAUCUUAAUGCCAAUGACAUAAGAUGCCUCACCCAUAUCCUUCAUGUCGAAAUUUUUAGAGAGGAAUUGUUUCACCUCAUGAAGUAAACCCUUAUCAUUGGUUGCAAGUAAGAUGUCAUCCACGUAUAAAACAAGAAAACAAACUUUACUCCCACUGACCUUAAGGUAUAUGCAUUGAUCCAUAACAUUUUCAACAAAACCAAAUGAAGAAAUUAUGUUAUGGAAUUUUAAAUACCAUUGGCGGGAUGCUUGUUUUAAACCGUAUAUGGAUUUCUUAAGCUUACAAACCAAUUGCUCACCAUCACUAGAGGGGAAUCCUUCAGGUGUUUCAUGUAANNNNNNNNNNNNNNNNNNNNNNNNNNNNNNNNNNNNNNNNNNNNNNNNNNNNNNNNNNNNNNNNNNNNNNNNNNNNNNNNNNNNNNNNNNNNNNNNNNNNGAAGACAACUUCAUUUGUUUGUUUGGAUAACAUGAUGAUGGGAAAGAAAUUAAAGACCCUUUAGUGAAGGUAUUUGCAUUGUCUUCCAUUGGUCCUUGAUAGGCUUUAUUGAAUGAUUAAGCUUUAGAUAAGGAAAGAAUAAAAAGAAGAAGGAGACAAGUAGUGGUUGUGGCAAUCAAGAUGAGACCCAAAAAUGAAUGGUCUACAUGUGAUGUUCCCGAAACUAGGGAAAAUGCAAGGAAGAGAAAAAGCAAAAGAAAAAAUAAAGAAAAAUAAAAAAUAGAUUAAGAGUUGAUAAAUUAUUUUAUUUGCUAAUUCAAACUCAUUUUACUUAUUUUGACUAAUCAAUAUAAAGAUUAAAUAAUUUUAAAAUGCAUAAGUUGUAAGCAAUUCAUAAUGCAUAUAAACAAUCUUAAUUUGUAACUUAUGCCAUACUUACCUCCAGCCAUUGUUGGGUUGCAAGUCUUUGGUUUCCAAAACUCUAUCUCUCCUUAUGGAUGGUGUAGUUUCUGAAGAUUUUCAGCAGCAUGAGAGAGGAGCUUGGGACCAAGACCGAUAUUUAAAAUACAAAGAAAACGUGGCUUCCCAUCAAAGCCACGUUUCUCUGAUUUGCCACACGAUGAGCAGUUGAAAGAAACGUGCUCCUUAACAGCAGCUACAUGAUGAAGGACGUGGCCAAAUGUUGGACCACUUCAGGGCAGCGGAACGUGGGUGAUUUGAUAACAUUCUCCCACUUGGUCCACACUUUUAACCUCAUGUCCUAUCUUAGAUCAUCAUUUUUCCGCAUUAAGUAACAAAUAUAUGAAUCAUGGCGAUAAGUCCUCUAUAUAACGAGUGUUAUCUUCCAUGUAUUACAAUGUAUUCAUUUCUUAACAUUUUACUUUAUGUGGCAAUAUUGCUUAAUGAAUAAACCCUAUGUUC
This 2906-nucleotide long non-coding RNA is filed under the name Vitis vinifera (wine grape). RNAcentral describes it as "long non-coding RNA (VVIN_LNC003961)". Lineage: Eukaryota; Viridiplantae; Streptophyta; Magnoliopsida; Vitales; Vitaceae. The record is from RNAcentral.